Molecule: long non-coding RNA, 407 nt
Organism: Oryzias melastigma (Indian medaka)
Lineage: Eukaryota; Metazoa; Chordata; Actinopteri; Beloniformes; Adrianichthyidae
Exons: 3
Source: RefSeq, a predicted model, not a curated record
CGGCGAUCUCUCGGUCGGACUGGGACAGAUGUGAGAGCAGAGGCUCGCCGUAGACCUUCUGCUUGGAGAGGUUUACCGCGGGCCCUUUCCACCAGAACAGAGAACGAACUCCAGAGAGUUUUUGUGGUAUUCCGCCUGCAGCUCCAGAAGCUGUCGUUGGAAAAACAGGUUACAACCUUUCCCUGCACUCAGAUCGGGGCGUCCAGAGAGCCACUCACAUGUAUGAAGUAGUUAGCGUAGUCGUCUUCUUUGGUAGCAAAGUGAUAGAGGUCUGCAGAGUACUGGUCCUGCAGGGAAAGGGGGAAAGUUUCCUCCAGGCUUCUUCGACUUCCUCCCUGAGGCCGUCCUGCUUCGCCUGGGGGGCGGUGCUGGUCUGACUCCGGAGUCGGGCGUUGUUCCAGUCGGUG